This 566-nucleotide ribosomal RNA is filed under the name Schwanniomyces vanrijiae. RNAcentral describes it as "eukaryotic LSU rRNA". It matches the Rfam family "Eukaryotic large subunit ribosomal RNA", at positions 62 to 644 of the family's 3401-position model. The record is from RNAcentral. Lineage: Eukaryota; Fungi; Ascomycota; Pichiomycetes; Serinales; Debaryomycetaceae.
AAACCAACAGGGAUUGCCUCAGUAACGGCGAGUGAAGCGGCAAAAGCUCAAAUUUGAAAUCUGGCACCUUCGGUGUCCGAGUUGUAAUUUGAAGAAGGUAACUUUGGAGUUGGCUCUUGUCUAUGUUCCUUGGAACAGGACGUCACAGAGGGUGAGAAUCCCGUGCGAUGAGAUGUCCAAUUCUAUGUAAAGUGCUUUCGAAGAGUCGAGUUGUUUGGGAAUGCAGCUCUAAGUGGGUGGUAAAUUCCAUCUAAAGCUAAAUAUUGGCGAGAGACCGAUAGCGAACAAGUACAGUGAUGGAAAGAUGAAAAGAACUUUGAAAAGAGAGUGAAAAAGUACGUGAAAUUGUUGAAAGGGAAGGGCUUGAGAUCAGACUUGGUAUUUUGCAAGCUUUACCUUCGUGGUGGAGUCCCCUGCAGUUUACUGGGCCAGCAUCGGUUUGGAUGGUAGGAUAAUGACUUGGGAAUGUGGCUUUGCUUCGGUAAAGUGUUAUAGCCCUUGUUGAUACUACCUGUCUAGACCGAGGACUGCGUCUUUGACUAGGAUGUUGGCAUAAUGAUCUUAAG